GGACUAUAAGAGUCAAAAUUCGUAAAACCCUAAUCGGUAGCCAAAUUCCAGUAUGGAGGGAAUACAGAAGGCUUUUCGUAGUGCCAUGUCUCAGGAUCCUAAUGGCAGUUUAAGUUCCAUUUCUUCUGCUCUUGAAAAGGCACCCAUUAAAUCUUCUGCUACUGUUUCGUCGGCUGAGCAAUCACAGCUUUUGCUUACUCGAUCUUCCAGACAAGCAGUAUCACUGUGGACUUGCUCAAAGCUCUGUGCCAUUUGUUUUGUUGCUGGAAUAUUUGUUGGUUAUACACUGAAGCGUCGUGUACGCCGAUGGGCUUCCAAAUUUCUCAAGGGAUUGAAGGACUAACAAGUUUUGGAUACUUCCAGUUUCUGAUUGUAAUUUCAUUUUCCAUGUAGGUAUCAUAUCACAUUGUACUUUUCUGGCCAUGAUAUACAGAAGUCUUUUAUGGGUUUUUGCUGCAUAAGCACUGAAUUGUGU
Molecule: unclassified non-coding RNA, 475 nt
Filed under: Hevea brasiliensis (rubber tree)
Lineage: Eukaryota; Viridiplantae; Streptophyta; Magnoliopsida; Malpighiales; Euphorbiaceae
Source: RNAcentral